CUACCCUUGACAUCCAGUGAACGCUGUAGAGAUACGGCGGUGCCGAAAGGAACUCUGAGACAGGUGCUGCAUGGCUGUCGUCAGCUCGUGUUGUGAGAUGUUGGGUUAAGUCCCGUAACGAGCGCAACCCUUAUCCUUAGUUACCAUCAUUUAGUUGGGGACUCUAAGGAGACUGCUGGUGAUGAACCGGAGGAAGGCGGGGACGACGUCAAGUCAUCAUGGCCUUUAUGGGUAGGGCUACACACGUGCUACAAUGGUCGGUACAGAGGGCAGCCAACCCGCGAGGGGGAGCCAAUCCCGCAAAGCCGAUCGUAGUCCGGAUCGGAGUCUGCAACUCGACUCCGUGAAGUCGGAAUCGCUAGUAAUCGCGAAUCAGAAUGUCGCGGUGAAUACGUUCCC
RNAcentral lists this ribosomal RNA (399 nucleotides) under uncultured bacterium. Its description in RNAcentral is "bacterial SSU rRNA". It matches the Rfam family "Bacterial small subunit ribosomal RNA", at positions 975 to 1375 of the family's 1533-position model. The record is from RNAcentral.